GAUGAACGCUGGCGGCGUGCCUAAUACAUGCAAGUCGAGCGAACGGGCGAGAAGCUUGCUUCUCUGAUGUUAGCGGCGGACGGGUGAGUAACACGUGGAUAACCUACCUAUAAGACUGGGAUAACUUCGGGAAACCGGAGCUAAUACCGGAUAAUAUUUUGAACCGCAUGGUUCAAAAGUGAAAGACGGUCUUGCUGUCACUUAUAGAUGGAUCCGCGCUGCAUUAGCUAGUUGGUAAGGUAACGGCUUACCAAGGCAACGAUGCAUAGCCGACCUGAGGGGGUGAUCGGCCACACUGGAACUGAGACACGGUCCAGACUCCUACGGGAGGCAGCAGUAGGGAAUCUUCCGCAAUGGGCGAAAGCCUGACGGAGCAACGCCGCGUGAGUGAUGAAGGUCUUCGGAUCGUAAAACUCUGUUAUUAGGGAAGAACAUAUGUGUAAGUAACUGUGCACAUCUUGACGGUACCUAAUCAGAAAGCCACGGCUAACUACGCG
Molecule: ribosomal RNA, 497 nt
Filed under: uncultured bacterium
Lineage: Bacteria
Description: partial 16S ribosomal RNA
Rfam family: Bacterial small subunit ribosomal RNA
Source: RNAcentral